This is a non-coding RNA of Paramisgurnus dabryanus, 362 nucleotides long. The record is from RefSeq and is a predicted model, not a curated record. Lineage: Eukaryota; Metazoa; Chordata; Actinopteri; Cypriniformes; Cobitidae.
GUCUAUCACAGGCUCCAGGAUGUUAGUGUCAUAAGGAAAUUUGUCUUGGACUCAUUAUCAGUAUAUAAGUGAUGCUUUCAACUUUGUAAACCAACUUUUCCUGAAGAGAACGAUGGAUGCUCUGACAGUUCUUCUUUGUGUUCUUCUAACCACUACAGGCUGUCAAGGAUUCAGCAAAGCAACAACCAUUUGGUGGCCAUUGACAACAGACUUUCUAGACACAACAUUGGAUCCAUCAGCAGAACCAUGUGGUGACUACAUGACAGAUUGGAUGGGUGAAUUUUCCAGCCCUCAGUACCCAAACAAUUAUCCCAAUAAUGCACGGUGCACGUGGACCAUUCACAGCACAGGACAAACAACAG